This 425-nucleotide non-coding RNA is filed under the name Dipodomys ordii (Ord's kangaroo rat). Its description in RNAcentral is "Eukaryotic large subunit ribosomal RNA". It matches the Rfam family "Eukaryotic large subunit ribosomal RNA", at positions 1961 to 2335 of the family's 3401-position model. Lineage: Eukaryota; Metazoa; Chordata; Mammalia; Rodentia; Heteromyidae. The record is from Rfam by way of RNAcentral.
CAGCAAGACUAGACAAUGUUGAGAAGGGCGACAGGGAGGGGUGGGGGGUGACGGUGGGUGGGGGGUGGGAGGGUGGGAGGAGGCGUCCCGGGCGGUGACGGGCCACCACACCGGUCCCCUCUUCCACCUCCCAUCCUGCCAGGUGCCCUCCCCCACACUGUGGUUUUCCACACAGCGCCUCCCAGCCGGCCUAGCAGCUGCCUUAGAUCUGGUGCAGACCAGGGGAAUCUGUUUAAUUAUAACAAAGCAUGGGGAAGGCCCAGGUGGGUGUUGAGGCGAUGUGAUUUCUGCCUAGUGCUCUGAAUGUCAAAGUGAAGAAAUUCAAUGAAGUGUGGGUAAACAGCGAGAGUAACUAUGACUCUCUUAAGGUAGCCACAUGCCUCCUCAUCUAAUUAGUGAUGCACAUGAAUGGAUGAACGAGAUUA